This 492-nucleotide ribosomal RNA is filed under the name Duganella sp. CL4.121. RNAcentral's name for it is "bacterial SSU rRNA". It matches the Rfam family "Bacterial small subunit ribosomal RNA", at positions 17 to 503 of the family's 1533-position model. The record is from RNAcentral. Lineage: Bacteria; Pseudomonadati; Pseudomonadota; Betaproteobacteria; Burkholderiales; Oxalobacteraceae.
CCCUGGCUCAGAUUGAACGCUGGCGGCAUGCUUUACACAUGCAAGUCGAACGGCAGCGCGGGGGCAACCCUGGCGGCGAGUGGCGAACGGGUGAGUAAUAUAUCGGAACGUACCCAAGAGUGGGGGAUAACGUAGCGAAAGUUACGCUAAUACCGCAUACGAUCUAAGGAUGAAAGCAGGGGAUCUUCGGACCUUGUGCUCCUGGAGCGGCCGAUAUCUGAUUAGCUAGUUGGUGAGGUAAAGGCUCACCAAGGCAACGAUCAGUAGCUGGUCUGAGAGGACGACCAGCCACACUGGAACUGAGACACGGUCCAGACUCCUACGGGAGGCAGCAGUGGGGAAUUUUGGACAAUGGGGGCAACCCUGAUCCAGCAAUGCCGCGUGAGUGAAGAAGGCCUUCGGGUUGUAAAGCUCUUUUGUCAGGGAAGAAAAGGGAGUGGCUAAUAUCCAUUCCCUGCUGACGGUACCUGAAGAAUAAGCACCGGCUAACUA